UUAUUGGGCAGUAAAAAUAUAAUAAUAAAAAAUAUGUGGAGACGACGUCUCCUUUUUUUCUUCUAUUCUUGUUAUAACUAUAUCUUGUAUUCUUUUCCCAAUUGAUCAAAAUUACAACUUGUUUUUGAAAUAAUAGUAUUUUUUAGACGCACUACAAUUAAAGAAAGUUUAUAUUAACUAUGCAAAGCAAAAGCUGUUAGUAAGCUAAAAUAAAUAAAAUUUCUUAAGCCCACUGUUUAUGAAUCUCGGUGUGUCAGCUUUUCUCCCGUAAACUUUGCGGCAACCUGGCUGAAAAUGUGUUCUGGCCACCAGGACACUCAACUGCAACAAAGCCAUUGCAGUGCUGUCAACAUUUGUUGACACUUAUUGAGCAUUGUCCGUUGAGGUCUGGCUCUGGUUUGGCCAUUUCCGUUGGUGGUUUUUUAAUGACGUCCCUGCAAGUGGGUGGCGGUGGGUGUGACUGCCACUGCGACUGUGUUUGUGUGGCAGACACGUGUCCUCGCUGUUUCCCCAUUGUGCGGCACAAUGUUUUAUGCAUGUAAAGUGUGUGCGAUAAGUGGCAGUUUCACAUUGUGCACUAUCACACUCCUGCCCUCAGAAACUCAUAAUUCUACGGAUUAUUCGCGCCCGAAAGCAUAGAGAACAUGAUGCUGUUUUCAGCCAGGUUGAUGUGGCUCAUUCGCCACGUUCGCCCGCCGAAGUAAACUUUUCCCAUCAGCCAGCAGGCAAAUGAGCUGUUUAAUUCCGGAGCUGUUUGUUUUCGUAGCUGCCACCGAAAGGAAACCCCACACAAGGGAAAACAUUUGUGUUAUGCAACUAGCAAGGAUCUUGUUUCACUUACUGACUUAAUGUUGCUUGCAUUUGCAAACAAUUAUCAUGAAGUUGCGUUACAGGUUUGUAGAAUAAUUAAAAACUUUUCAUUUAAUA
Drosophila subpulchrella is the source of this 927-nucleotide long non-coding RNA. RefSeq lists it as uncharacterized. Lineage: Eukaryota; Metazoa; Arthropoda; Insecta; Diptera; Drosophilidae. The transcript is spliced from 2 exons. The record is from RefSeq and is a predicted model, not a curated record.